CUUCGCAGUACCGCUAAAAUUCUUUCAUUGUUCUGCAAAUUUAUCAAAGUAAUUACGUUUACUUAAUACUUCUUUCAUCGAUAAAAAUAAUGGAGGUUGUGUUGAAUAUGGCAAGAAACUCGAAAAACUUGUCGACAAACUCGUAGGAAGAGUCAUACUGAUAUCAACACUUUUCACACGAUUUAUCAGAAAAUCCAUAGAGAUCCAAUUAAAUGGUUACAGCAUCCAUACACAGAUGUCUCAUUGUCUAUUGUUGAAGGAAGUGAGAUCACGACUGCCCAUUUUUGAGAUUUUCUUAUCAAUCAACCAUCGAACCAUUGUCUCUAUUAAAAUCCAUUGGUGAUCGACAAAGGACGAAAAUAUAAAUCGAUACGUAGAUACAUAGAUCGAUAAGUAGGUACCUCCUGGAGUACUUUUGAAGCAACAUUUUCGGGCUAAAGACUUCGUCACGAAAUAUGGUCUUCCGUUUUCACCUGAAGUGGCCCGAAUUCUCCCCACUUCCAUGUUUAGAGAUAUGGACGAUAGAAAUAACAAGAUGGUGGGGGUAAACAGUGGGGACACUACGAACCUGAUAUUUCAGCCAAUGAGAACCAUGCAUCUAUUCCGGCAUCACCGAUAGAGAUGCAUGGCUGUGGUUGGUUGAAUGUCAAGAUUUUUAGAACAUUGGUGUGUUGACAGUAAUUUACCUACAAGUUAUUCACGAUUACGAUUCAUAGUUACAAAGGCUGUGCGUCGAUUUGCUCUGUUUUGGGACCACAGGACGCCAUUUCAAUAGUUGUGGUGGUUUCGCGUUUCUAAUGAGAUUACAUUUAUGGCCGAGAGAGCCGAGUCACCUUGACGUUGGCUACCGUGAUAAAGAGUUCUUUGACUCCUGCUUUGUUUCUCUUCGGAUUUCACCGGUUUUCCUGAAUAUUGUCCUGAACUUUUACGAAUAAAACCCCAUUACAAAAUAACAAAAAAUAAUAUUGCGACUGGUAAGACACUGUCAGAUCGACGGAAUAAAUCAACAUGGUGGCGAAUCAAAGAGUGAGUUAAGUCUAACGGAAUUCGUGCCUGAGGAGUCUCUUUUGUGUUGUGAUAAUCAGCGAAUUUGUGGGGAAAAAUCAUUCAUAUAUCAUUGAUAUACAGUGUUUAAGUUGAAACGAAGUAAUUGUGCAGCGACCUGAGACCUACCGAGAUGGUUCUAAGUUAUUAUGACUAGUCUAAUUGGAUGAGGUUUGGGUAUGGGGAGAAUACACAUGACAGGAUGAACGUAGUAGCAGUGACAAAAAAUAUGUUUUUUCCUUCAGUGUAUUAAAUUCCCUCAAAAGUCUUAUGGAAAUGACGAAGGACGCUGAUGAUAAAUACAGAAUAAUGAGCAGAAAAUGCCUCAUGCUCCACUGACAAUGAAUAAUUAUUAUAAAAACAUUUGAAAUUUGUGACAUAUAAUUCGAGGUAAAGAAUAAAGUAAAUGAAUUUAUGACAGAUGUUCUUCGAUAUUCAGAGCAAUGGAUAGAAAAAACAUUCAAUAAAAUUCUCUCACCUGUCUAGUAUGUGUAAUCGGUUGGUGAUUUGGAUAUCUUAAAAGUUCAAAUUGUAAUGAUAAUAUUCAUAAAUUGCUAUAAACAGUCCAUAGAGGAGAGAAUUAAGAAUGGCUCAUGCUGGCAACGAAUUAAAUUUUUCGUCUUCAUUAUUGUCAUCAUCGUCAUGAAUAAAUAGGUAGGAUUGAAUGAUUGAAGACAUUUUCAAGGAUCAGGUUAGGGAGAUAGAGGUGUAAAUUUAUCAUUUAUGUUGCCUACACGGCCAUUUGGGUUAUAAUUAGGAAUUAUUUUGUCUAGAAUCAAAAGACAAUAUACGAAACUAGCGAACUGCUCCUAAAAAUCUACCCUAAUAUAUUUUUUAACGAAAUACUUGGCGAUUUUAAAAAAUAUUUUAUGAGGUAUUUUAUGCAUUCUGAUUGUCUCUGACCUCUGAAAGAAUUUUUCCUGCGUUUAAAACCCAAUAAUACUGAAAUCUAUUGAAAAAACGGAAUUGAAAAAAAAUCCGUCGAUAUUUUGUUGAUUAUCUCGAAACGAAGUGACGAGCGGGAAAAAUGUGAGAGAAAGUUGUCUGCGGAAAAGUAAAUUCCCUGCAAAAAAGGUACUUUCAGAUUUUUCUUUAGCAUGCCCCAUUACCGAAAUAAUUAAUAAAUUAUCGAAAUAAAAUUAAAAUGAAUACGAGACUAUUUGGUGAAUAACUCGCAAAAUUAUGAGAGUUGUCGAACAUUUCUCCGAUAUCGUCUUUGCGCGGAAUUAAAUUCUCUACAAUAAAUAUUCUUGUAGCAUCCAUCGCCGAAACUCUUAUCUUUCGAGAUGUUUCGAAAAAAUAAAAUUAUAUAAAUUAAACAAACGAGAAAACUAAUUUUAAGGUCUUUCAGACAUAACGAAUGCACAAAAUAGAUAAUUUUAAACUUCAAAUUACCUGAAUUAAGCUCUCUCACGAGUGUUGACAUGGCAUUUGUGACACUGUCAGCAGCAACAAGUAGAUCAUUUCUCAAGGAUCUUCCCAAGCUAUUGUUGGCACUGCUUGAUCCACUCCCGGGUAGGCUGUUUGUCCUGAACGCAGACCUGACAUCGAAAAUCUCUAUUUUCUUUGCGCGAAGAAGCACCAAAUAACGAAAAAAUAAAUAAAUCAAGACAACGAAAGAUUUUCAAAAAAAAAAAAUCAUCACGACAUUAAUCUGAAUUGAAUUAUUUAUUGCAGUAAGCAUGUCAACAAUCUGUCGUACGUCUUCAUUCACUUGAUUUUCUUUACUCUUGUAUUUUUUUUUCGCGAAUCGAAGGGGCUUCGCAUUACAGUAACUACGUGCUAGGUUUUCAUUUACACAUGUUUUUUAUAAUCUCCUGGUUAUUUAGGUGAACUGUGAGGGCAUUCUGGCUUCUACGGUUUACAAUCGUGGUGGAAUGAAAAUUGUGCCACAUUUUUUUUUUUUCAUGGGUAUAGUUUGGAAUUACAGCCUCCAUUACAUGCGACAUUCAGGACAAAUUGGCAGUUUUAUUGUUAUUAUUAUUUUUCACUAUUCAUUAAUGAGUCGAGCAGUAUUGGGGAUUCUGAGAGUACUUGGUGCACGUCGAGCAUUCCGAAAUGAAAUUAAGCAAAAUAAAAUUAAUAAAUGAAACUUGUAUGAAAUUGUCACUUUUUGUUCCGUUUGAAAAAGAGAGAACAUAGAAUAUGCCCUAAAAUCCAACUGUGAUUAAUGGAAUCGACUUUUUUUACAGACAACACUUGUUUACACAAUUUUUUGAUUCACUUUAUUUAAUUUUGAAAUUUUUGAGAAUUAAUGAUAUUUGGUUGGAUUCAGCAGGUAUUGAUUACCCCUUUUUGCAAUAUCAGUUGUCUGUUCUUAG
RNA transcript from Diachasmimorpha longicaudata, 3365 nucleotides. RefSeq lists it as uncharacterized. The record is from RefSeq and is a predicted model, not a curated record. The transcript is spliced from 3 exons. NCBI's taxonomy places the organism in Eukaryota, Metazoa, Arthropoda, Insecta, Hymenoptera, Braconidae.